CAGGCCAAAAUAAUUUACAAUUUUGGUUUAUAACUGCUCAAGACCAAGUAUAAUAUAUACAUACAGUGCGCAUACAUUACAACAAAAAUUACAGGAAAUGGUAUACUCAAUAUCCCGGUGGAAUCCCAAAAUGUAGCACAAACAGCCUACUCUGCUGCUCUGUCUGUCUGUCUACCUCUGAAGAGUAACCUCUUGGCCCUGACUCAGUAGUUUCUUCUCCUUCUCUGAGUCUUUGCUAACUUGCUUAGUCUGAAUUGAUACUGAACCCUUGCCUUGAGAUUCUAUAACUUCUCCAUUGCCAAGCUUGACUUUGAUUCUCACUGAUCUAUCAAUUGAAGAGAACAUGCUUUCAUCUCUUGCCAUAUGAUUGGUGCAGCCACUAUCCACAAACCAUGUAUGUCUUCCACUAGUGUUUGUAGUGUGAGUAACAACAUAGACAUGAUCAUCAUAUUGAGCUUGAUCAUCAGUGUAAUUUGUUUAUUAAGUAGGUUGUUGUUGUUGAUUCUGAUUCAGCUUGCUUUGUUUAAUUCUACAAUUUUUCUCCUUAUGUCCCAACCUUUUGCAGUAGUUACAUUGAGGUGGCUUAACUCCAUUCUUCUACCAACAAUCUUAUUCAAGAUGAUUGGUUUUGUUGCAAGUAGGACAAGGUAGGAAUUUUGAUUUCUUGCCACCCCUUUUUCUAUUUACAGGUCCCUUGCCUUUGUUUGUUGAAUCACUUACACUCUUCUUAGCUUCCUCAAAUUGCUUACCCUUUUGUUUGGCAAGAAAAGCUUCUUCAGUGGACUCCCCCAUUCUAAUAAUCCUUCUUUGCUCAAAAGCUUGAAGAGCAUUCACCAAUUCUGAAAUAGAAAUGGUUUUCAAGUCUUUGGAGUCUUCCAAAGAGGAAAUUUUAGGCUCAAAUCUUUCAAGUAAACUCACUAAAACCUUUUGCACAACUCUCUUGUCACUAAGCUCCUCUCCCAACAAUCUAAUUUUAUUUACAACUUUCAUGAGCCUAUCAGAAUACCCUUGAAUAGAUUCAAUAUCCUUCAUCCUCAAAACUUCAAAUUCCCUUCUUAGAUUGAGAACUUGCAUCAUUUUAGUCUUCUCACACCUUUGAUACUCUUCUUUCAACUUAUCCCAAACUUCUUUAGCUGAUCCACAAGCCAAGAUCUUAGUAAAAAUGACAUCUGAUACAGCAAAGUGUAUACAAAAGGGAGCCUUGAACUUCUUUGCACGCUCUUCACUAUGUUGCUUGAUUUGAGCAAGGGUGGGAUUGUCACUCAAAGGAGCUGGAUCUUUGCCUAUUUCUACGACAUCCCAUAGAUCAUAGACUUUAAGAUAAGCCUGCAUCUUCACUGACAAAUUGGGAUAAUUUUCUCCUGAGAAGACAAGUGGAGGAGGAGCUGAGUAACUACUUGAAGCCAUAAAUUUACUCACAAGUGUUUUAAGGUGUUUGAG
Molecule: unclassified non-coding RNA, 1440 nt
Filed under: Hevea brasiliensis (rubber tree)
Lineage: Eukaryota; Viridiplantae; Streptophyta; Magnoliopsida; Malpighiales; Euphorbiaceae
Source: RNAcentral